Long non-coding RNA from Lagopus leucura (white-tailed ptarmigan), 444 nucleotides. RefSeq lists it as uncharacterized. NCBI's taxonomy places the organism in Eukaryota, Metazoa, Chordata, Aves, Galliformes, Phasianidae. The transcript has 4 exons. The record is from RefSeq and is a predicted model, not a curated record.
CAGAGACCUGGUCAUCCUCUGGUAUUGAUCACCUGCCUCCCUGUCCUCCAAGAUCUGGAUGUGCUCCGCCUAUGAUCUGGACGUGGAUAGGGUUUCUCUGUCUGUGCUUCUGGCAAAUGUGGUCUGAUUCAGUCAUAGCCUUAAACAAAUGUCAGCACCUUUACUGGGAAAUGUGGUGACCAGUGGAUUAGACAAACGAGAGGGCUGGAAAUGGGUCUGCUUCAAGUCUUACCAUGUACCUUGUGGAGUGACAUCUGGAGAUGGUGGAGCCUGGUCUCUUGGUUUCUGCCCCUUUGGUGGGGAUGGGCUUGUCCCACCAGCUAAAGAGGACAGACCCUUUGUAGGAAAUGCUCCCAUAUGGACAACAGAAGAUGGGAAGGUUUGGUGUGCUCAUGGGGCUGGAUCACUGCUGCAAAGGGAAGUACCUCCACAGGAUUAUUUUAU